GCCCAGGGCUGGAGGCCAGGAGAGAUGCGUCCGAAGCUUCUAGGUCCCUCGGAACACUUGGCUGGGGAUCAGCUAUUCCUGUAAGGAGCUCACUCUUCUCUCUGGGAGUAGCCAGUUGCUCACAUCGCUGGAGUCUUCAUUGGGAGGUCACAGCAUGUGAUGGGGAAGGAAAUGGACAGGAACAAGCAAGCGUUGCUUUGGCAUGUCACCUCAUGAAUUUGCUGUCUUCAACCAUUAACAAGGUGAUGAUGAGACUGAAGCCAGAGAGAUAAAGCACCCUGCUUGCUCAGAGCUGAGCAGACUACCUGGGGGUUCCAAUUCUGGCCCAUUGCUCUUUCCACUGGGUACAUCCGCCCACCUCCUUCUCACGACAUCCUUGAUGGAGCACAUAUUUGAUUCUCAUGGUCAGAUGGCAGAGCUGAAGCUGGAAGUGAUGUCUUAAGUCAAUUAGCUCCUAAAUGGGAGGACCAGAAUUCAAACUCAGUUCUCUUCAACUCUCAGGCCGACCACUCUUUUAAAUUCACAGCUCUGCUGCUUUCCUGGAAGGCUUGAAUCAUCAGUUGUGUUUAUCAUGCACUGUUGACAUUAGCACCUACUAGGGCUUUUAACUAAUGCCCUACUGCCAUAAACUGUGUUUUCUGUUUUAUUUUAAAUAUUGGUCCAGAGCUCCCUUUGUGGUGAAACUUUUG
Molecule: long non-coding RNA, 689 nt
Filed under: Sus scrofa (pig)
Lineage: Eukaryota; Metazoa; Chordata; Mammalia; Artiodactyla; Suidae
Description: lncRNA (ENSSSCG00030064826.1)
Source: RNAcentral